AGGAUGAGCAAAGAAAAACGUCCCUCGAAGCACACAGCAUCCCGAGUGAUGCCUACAGCAUCCCGAGUGACUCGCGCAGUCCCAAAGACAGCGUUGACCCACUGAGUCUUUAAGUAUCUGCUCUAUCAAACCAGCCCCUCACGGACCCUGGACACCUGACAUCCAGCAAGCUUUGGGGACCACUCUGUAAACAGCAUCGUAACUAGUCACCUGACUCAUCCUCUGUUCUGCAAACCUGGGAAUCUGAGGGCGGCAGCAUUCACACACAGUGAGAGCCUGGGCUCUGCUCUCAGGACCUGCAAGUCUCAGGUGCCUUCACCUGCACUACAUCUGCACUGCCCUCGCUGCAGUGAGUAGACCAGACCCGCCUCUGCCCCGCCCACUCGGAUCUCUGCGGGCUACGCCCCCGCUGUUCUCUUCCUUCCCCUGUCCCUCCAUCCUCUCUUCACCUUCUGGCAUUUUCCACUCUGACACUGACCUUUGCGUUGACACAGUCAGUCAAUAUGUGAAACCCUUGCUUUUCUCAACCUAAAAUAAAUCCAUAAUUAAUUCAUUAA
This 557-nucleotide long non-coding RNA is filed under the name Mus spretus (western wild mouse). RNAcentral describes it as "lncRNA (ENSMSPG00010008634.1)". Lineage: Eukaryota; Metazoa; Chordata; Mammalia; Rodentia; Muridae. The record is from RNAcentral.